CCUACGGGAGGCAGCAGUGGGGAAUAUUGCACAAUGGGGGAAACCCUGAUGCAGCGACGCCGCGUGAGUGAAGAAGUAAUUCGUUAUGUAAAGCUCUAUCAGCAGGGAAGAAAAUGACGGUACCUGAGUAAGAAGCCCCGGCUAACUACGUGCCAGCAGCCGCGGUAAUACGUAGGGGGCAAGCGUUAUCCGGAUUUACUGGGUGUAAAGGGAGUGUAGGCGGGAAAGCAAGUCAGAAGUGAAAACUAUGGGCUUAACCCAUAGCCUGCUUUUGAAACUGUUUUUCUUGAGUGAAGUAGAGGCAAGCGGAAUUCCUAGUGUAGCGGUGAAAUGCGUAGAUAUUAGGAGGAACACCAGUGGCGAAGGCGGCUUGCUGGGCUUUUACUGACGCUGAGGCUCGAAAGCGUGGGGAGCAAACAGGAUUAGAUACCCCUGUAGUC
Molecule: ribosomal RNA, 440 nt
Filed under: uncultured bacterium
Lineage: Bacteria
Description: partial 16S ribosomal RNA
Rfam family: Bacterial small subunit ribosomal RNA
Source: RNAcentral